GACGAACGCUGGCGGCGUGCUUAACACAUGCAAGUCGAACGAUGACGACCGAGCUUGCUCGGUCUGAUUGGUGGCGAACGGGUGAGUAACACGUGAGCAACCUGCCCUUCACUCUGGGAUAACCUCGGGAAAUCGGGGCUAAUACCGGAUAUGAGCUCCUGUCGCAUGGCGGGUGUUGGAAAGUUUUUCGGUGAAGGAUGGGCUCGCGGCCUAUCAGUUUGUUGGUGAGGUAGUGGCUCACCAAGGCGAUGACGGGUAGCCGGCCUGAGAGGGCGACCGGCCACACUGGGACUGAGACACGGCCCAGACUCCUACGGGAGGCAGCAGUGGGGAAUAUUGCACAAUGGGCGAAAGCCUGAUGCAGCGACGCCGCGUGAGGGAUGACGGCCUUCGGGUUGUAAACCUCUUUCAGCAGGGAAGAAGCGAAAGUGACGGUACCUGCAGAAGAAGCGCCGGCUAACUACGUG
Molecule: ribosomal RNA, 467 nt
Filed under: uncultured bacterium
Lineage: Bacteria
Description: partial 16S ribosomal RNA
Rfam family: Bacterial small subunit ribosomal RNA
Source: RNAcentral